This is a long non-coding RNA of Oryzias latipes (Japanese medaka), 8049 nucleotides long. RefSeq lists it as uncharacterized. Lineage: Eukaryota; Metazoa; Chordata; Actinopteri; Beloniformes; Adrianichthyidae. The record is from RefSeq and is a predicted model, not a curated record.
UCACAUGCGUCCUAGGGGCACUUGCAUGCCACUUCUGGUCAUGCUCAGUAAGAAGCCACAUCACUAACGACAAGAGCAGGGGUGUCAGAAUUCAGGCCUUAGGUGCCGGUGUCCAAUAUACAGUACUUUCCAACCAACUUGCCAUUGAAGCUUCUUAUUGGCUAAACACACCUGGUCCAGGUAAUCAACAGCAGAUAAGGAAGGAUUUCUGGAAAACCAGCUGGUGGCCGGCCCUCAAGGCUUGGAGUUUGACACCCCUGGACCAGGGUGUGGCACAUGGACACCAUAUGACAGCAUUACCCCUACAUCAAAAAUGUAGAUAUGCUUACCGCAUGCAAAGCCAUCAUACACUCCAUUUUCAUGACGCCUUUUAAGGUGGCCGCAAGAGCCUCAAGAGUACCGUACUGUAAUACACAUCUGUGCUCCUCUUAAAAUGCGGCCCCUCUUGUCUAUGACUCUCCACAGGCCCUGACAAACCAAAAACCCACAGCCCCCAAGGUCAACCCUUGUAUGGGUACAUGUGACUCGAGGCUUAGUAGCAGAAAGCAGUGGUUUUUAAGUUAGUCAAACUUUAAAUGUAAUUGAAUUUUUUUCUGUAUGCAUCACCUGAUGUUUUUGACUUCUUAAUGUCCAAGUACAUUUUAGGCAGGCUGCUAAUCCAUCACACAAAAAUACAGAGCAAACCAUAUCAUCAUUCUGAGUCCUGGCUGCACAAACAAGACAUUUCAAAGUCAGCGUUGCUUUGAAAAAAAAAGAAAAAGAAGUAUUUGUUGACAUUGACAUUUCAGCAAUCCUGUCUCCAAUGAAAUAAUAAGAAAAACUGCAACAAUAUUUCCGACUGAGGCAGCGUAGGCUUAGAUCGGCAUUAAAAUGAAUGAAUACAUCAAAGAAGAAAACUAAGGUAAACAUAUUUUGCAGAAUGCAGCUGCAAGCUGCCAUCAUUUGUGUCUAGAAUGUGGCUGUCAGUUAUCAGCUGCUGUCUGGAACUUGAAAACAAACAAAACUCCAACACAAUUUUCUUAAGACAUUCUGUCUGACAUACAGUCAGAUGAAUAUGUUCCUGGUUUUAUUUCAAUUUAAAAUUCUCCAUGUUUGCUAUCAAGACAAAAGAUUCAUUCAUUCAUACAUCUUCUAAUCCGUUCUAUCCCUUUCGGGGUCACUGGGCUGCCGGAGCCUAUCCUGGCCACUUGUGGGCGAAGGCAUUUCGUGUAACUAAAAACCUAAGAAGCAUAUUUUGGACUGUAGGAAGAAGCCGGACUAAACAAAGACAAGAAAAAACCAAUGAAGAAGAAAAAGAUCUAAAAACGUUUUAUUGCUUAGUCUCUGUCGAAUUUUCUUGCACGAGCAGAGAUCGGCAAAUUCCAGACAUUUUUCUGAGUCAAAAGUUGCAACAUUUCUUCUGUAAUGCAAUGACUAACUCUAAUGUACCUCAUAGUAAAAAACUUUCAAGUAAAAAGUGGCUCUCAGAUUUUAUAUGUUUGCAUAUGUAUGGCCACUUGUAACUUUUUUGAAGCCAAACUUUGACUUUGUUAUUAGUUUAUGGUUUAGUUGCAACUGCUUGUACGGCGGGGUCCCACAGGAUAUAGAAAGGUCACUUCUUGCCACAAACAUGACAAUCGUAAGUAAUAUUUUCAAUUAAGGGAAUAGCAGGACACACUUGCGCCUCCCUUAAUAUGCGCCUCGUCUAAUACCCUCCAUGGCCCAGAAAAUCCAAAACAUCACACCACCCUUACGAGUGCAUGUGACUAUAUAACAAAUUCCAAAUGAUUGCAAGUUUUCAACACAAAGCUCUUUAUCCUAAAAAGACUAGGUAAAGUUCAGAUCAAGUUAAGUUAUUUUGUAGUCCUCCCCCCAAAGACUAUUUAUGAGUGUCAAAGUUACAUCUUUUUCAAAUUUUUUGGAUGUUUAAAACAAGACGUUCUUGUAGUUGUAUGAAAUAUGAUGCUAUGUACCCACCGGGCAUGUGACGUGUGUGCCAGAACGAGCUGAAUGCUGGUUUCUGUACAUGUUUUAGCAUUUGGGGUUCACAUUGGAUUGUCACCAUCCAUUACUAGCGCAUGUACCUAUAGUUGGAAUAGGCUUGGUGUGAGAUGUGUAAGCAGUGCAAAUCUCGCAAAUUCUGCUCCAGGCUUUUUCAUACACAGGUCUAUUUCGAUAUAUGAAAGACUUGGUGACAUAUAGUUCCAGCCGGCUACGAACCGUAAUUAGUUUUUCCUUCUUUGUGAUCAAUUUUCAAACAGUUAUUAAUUCAGUGAAUUAAAAAGGACACUACCCAUACAUCACUACCAAAUACAAGUUCCUGAACUCGUUCAACUGGUUUCACUUUCAGCGUUCAAUAUCUGCACGGUUUCUUAGUAGAGCCCAAACUUAACUUGAUUGGUGACGCAUGAAUGCAUGAGUUUUGAACGGAGAACCGCAUAUAUGCACGUUUACAUAGACUUUUUAUUGAAAGUGGUGGCCUUCACUUUGAACUAAUAACUAAAUAGCCGUCCUACUCAGCCAACCACAAUAAAAAUAAUUUUGUCUUUAACUUUAUAGAAUGGUAGUCUCUUUCUGCAUUCUCCACCCGAUUCUCCACCUACAGCAAUGCUUUGAGAUGGUCUGACCUCUAACCACCAUCAGCAACUAGACUCUGGGGAUUAAACAUCUAUGGUCCGAGUUCAUCCCAAGCACGUCAUCGGUUGAGCGCCUAAUUUACAAAGAUUAGGGACUUAUUUCAUGCACAUUUUUCUGCAACACAAACAAAUCUUUACUUGCAUUAACUCUUCUGAUUUAAAGUGCUGGUUGAAUGCUGCAGAUAGGAGGUAAUGUUGAACUUGCAGGUAAACUGGUUUGAGGUAUCUCAAACUUAAACAGAAUUCUUGCAGCACAUAUGAUCUGCUGAAGUUUUAGCAGACAAAUUUUGUUAAAUGAAAUAUUUGUUGGUCAUCAUUGCAUGAGUUGGAAAAAUGGAUGACACAGCAGACACACCAUAUGUCUUGUGUGUGCAACUUCAACCAUGCACUAAAAAGUUAUACACUGUUAUCACCAGUUAACAGUAAGGGUUGAGUUUACAAUUUCAUUUUUUAGAUUUACUAAGACAAAAAAAAGACCAAAUACAAGAAAUAUUUUUAAAAACUUUAUUUACCUAAAUUUUAUACACUAACUGCAUCAAAUUAAAAGGUUAAGGAGGUUUUUUGUAUCUGCUGAGUGAUAAAAACGUCUAUCCCAUGUCGUUUCUCGUGUUGUGUUUUUAAGUCACACGUGUCUGUCUGUCAGGCAGUCUGAUCAAAUUCAACAGGAGAGACAUCCAAACCAAAUACUUUGAAUUCGCUGAUACAGUUAAAUAUGCUCAUUAGAAAGCAGCAAGGUUCCCAUGAAACUGUUGCAUGAUGUCAUUUCUAGGAAAAAAAUCAGUUCAGAGAACAAAACUGUUGAGUUUUAUUAGUGAUGGAGUUCUUAUAUAAAAAGAAUGUAAAAAGGAAGAAACAACCUCAAUUCUGGGCUCAGCAGUGUGCUGACUGUCCUCACAAAGGGAAACAUCUUUUUUUUUUAUUCUAAGACAGACUUUUCCGAUUCGAGGAAAAAAGAUGAAAGGUUUGGGAGAAAGCCUCAAAUUUCAAAUGAUUGAGCAGACCACAGGGUCACAUUAUGGAGUUAUAAGCCUUGUGCUAGCAACUGUACCUCCUAAAAUGCAUUCUUUUUGUCCCCAUUUUUCCAUUGUAUCUAGCCCUAUACAAAAAGUAGAAACAAAAUUCAAAAUGAAAGACUCUGCCCAGAUGAAAAGCAACCUCACAUUUUAAAUAAUAAAAAAACGCUUUCAUCUAAGUGAAGUGAACACUUUUCCCAUGAACUCAAAUACGGCAGUUUUAUCAAAGCAUUUGUGUCUUUUACAUAUGCUCAAGAUCUUCUCUGGUGUAAGUCCUGAUGUACACCAUGGGGAGCAGCGGAUGCUUGGGGCACCAAAUGCUUCUGUAUAAUUAAACAAUAAAGACUAAUUUGACAGGAAGAAAGAGUUUCUUAGUAAGUCUGCAGCCUGAAUGUGCUUUUGGUUUUGGCAGCUGUCAGUUAUUGCUCCACCAAUAUCAACAAUAUUUUCUUGUGGACCAAGUUUUUCUUUUUUUAAAAAAAAACAUGGUUUGGGAUCAACACAAGAAAAAAAAAAGGUUAAAAAUCCUAUUAAUAAUGAAACAAUAACAAAAGAAAAAAAGAAAUAUAUGAAUUAUAUAUGCAUAAAGUAUUAAAUAACCCUUGUCAUGUGCUACAGUUUUAUAUUUUUGGAGUUGAGGUAACGUGUUUUGAAUGAUAAAUCAAACUCAUAAAUCAAACUCGAAAGCAUGUCCAGUCGGAAGUCCAAAUCUCAAGUCUAUGUAUUUAGUUUUUCCCAGUCUUCAAUUACAAUUAUUUUGUUUAAGUAUUUGCGAUCUCAACCAAAUCUAUUAUUUUUCUCUGUCUGACUUAACAUUUGGGCCAAAGGUUGACAAUGAUUUACUUUUAUAUUUUCACAUUCAUAACAUUUACAUUAAAGAAACCAAAAAAAAAAAAAAAAAAAAUCAUAAAAAUAGGAGGAGGCAGGAAGAAAGUGAUGCUCCAUAGGGGUCAAUGCACACCUUCAUUAUGGAGCUGUGUGCAACUUUUUAGUAAUUUUUUUUCAUUGACAUGUUUUAUAUGAAAUGCUGAUGAGUUACAGGUGUUCCUCAAACAAUAUGAGUUGGAAACCAAAAUACAAUUUUAAUAAUCUAUGAGUUUACAACAUUGUCACAAGAACAGGCAGAUGGCUGGAUCCAAAUGUAGCAGGUUUAUUAGCUCAGCUAAAAAUCCACUAAGCUAAAUCAGGGUCAGGCAGGCCGGGUUUGGUAACAGGCACAAGAUCAUCAAAGGAGGGACAGAGUAGUCAGGAUCCAGGCGAGAGUCGGGGCAGGCGGCAGGCAAACAGAGACAUGGGUCAGGAAACAGAAGAUCAUGUCACGGUGCCUGGCAGUCUCCUCCCCCCUCCAGCUCUGCUCUGAUGUUCCUGAUUGCCACCAGCUGCCAUCACUCUCCUCAUCAUCUUCUAUGGAUUCAAAAGGAGGCCCAACGCCACUACUCGACGCCAGUUUGUUACCCCUUAUGGUGACAGUUCUGGUUCUAAGCUUCAUUACUGCUUUGCUCAAAGUCUCUGGGUCCUACUAAUUCUAUGUUCCCUGUCUCAGGAUCCAAACUCUCACGAGUGACGGCAGCACGGACCUUUCAUUCUAAGGCUCAGGAGAUCGGAAACCCUUGGCACCCGCUAACCGCUUCUAAACCCUCCAGCCUCGCCACAGCCACGUCUAGUCUGGACCUUCUUCAACCAACCAUCUUCACCUCUGGAGAAAACAAAUCCUUUCUCAUCAUCCACUUACCUGUCUUCCUUCUGGGUUGCAGCAUCUGGGUUCCUCAUCCUUGUGAGAUCAUGACAGAUCAGGACCAAAUAUAAUGCUCGGGUGGCCUGGGGCAGGAGGCGUGGCCUUCUAUACUGGUGUCUCUGCACACCUGCACCCAAUCUACACUGGUCCUUUAAAAGCCUCUCCCUGGCUCCUCCAACCUGCCAGGUUAUUUUCCUUUCCAUGUGGCCUCGCCCUUGUUCCUGUGAUCGCUGUCUGUGGCCCAGCCUCCUACCUUCACUGCCAGUCUGCCUCCUUUGGUUUUGUUCCUGUAGUGAAGCUAAUAAACGUCACUUAUCUGACACUUCCAGUCUGACUCUGCUCUGGGAUCCGUCUACACGCCGUAACACAGGCAAAGAAAAAGUCUACUAUAAAGCGUAAAAAAAUAUCAUGAAACAAACCCCCGCUUUAUCUAAAAUAAUUUUGAAACUAUGGUUUUCCUCUUUCUUUAACAAGGUUGGGCGGGAUGCAGUUUCAGGAAGUGGCACAUCCUCAAUUACAACCUUGCCGGAAUUGGCAUAACCUUUCUCCAUACCGUCUUCUCGUGAAAUUUGAGAGGUGAGAUGAUGACAUUAAGCUUGGUUGGUCAUUUUAGCGGCUGAAUUUGAGAUUUAUUUUGGAUACAAAUGGAUACAGAAAUAACUUAAGCCCUAUUUAAUAACUAACACUAAUUGUUUAUUUAAAUCAUACAUUUUUAUAUAUAUGUAUUUAUAUGCUUUUCCUAUAAAACCACAAACCAGAGGUACAUGCAGUUAUGUGUAGCAGAAAAUAUAAAUAACGAGAGAAAAUGUGAGCUACAGUAAUCCAUUUUAAUUUAUAUUAUCCACAGCAGAGAAGAACUCAAAGAGCUAAGCUUCUUCCACAUUAAAUUACAUCAAAACAUUCUGAAGAGUUAGAAUAAGUCUAUAAUGAGCAAAUGGUCAUUCAUAUUAAAAAUAUACAUCAAUGCCAACUGACUUCUCUGAGCUAUAAUAUUUGCAUUAGCUGAGAUAAUUAUACAAAAUUAAAGUUCUUGACUGAUAAAUAUGCACUGGGUCAAAGUAGGCUUUUAUUUUUAUUUUUUGUGUUGCGAAGAUUUCUUCGCAGUCUGUAAAAUCAGAAAUCAUUUGAAGGAUUUUUGCUCCCUGGAUAAAGAAAUAGAAGGGAGAUGCUGCAACCUGCUAUGAUUGAACAAUUUUCCACCAACAAAAAAGAGGAAACUACUGUACCCUUUCACACAUUUGAAAUGUUCUGAACUUUUAAGCUUCUCCAAAUUCUCAUGAAUAUUAAUUUCAGCUUUAUAUAAAAAAAAACAAAAAACAUGUGUUCUUAAAAACAUCAUACACUGUACCAGCAGAGACUGGAGUCAGCAGGAAGGAUUGACAGGAGCUGAGGCAGCAGAGAAAGUCACUGUGACAACCCAUUCUGAAGCAGGGUGCUGAAAGUAAACGGAAUAAAGUGAUGACUGGGAUAUUUUGGAGAUCAGAUUUAUGAUGGCCUCCGUGAUGAACUGCUGAAAAACAUUUUGGAAACAGAAUAUUGGAGCCAACUUUCCAACAGGUUUUUCUUUAUAGAAAUAAAUCCAUAAACUCUGUAUAUAAGGAUUUUAUUCAAACAAAUGUUUGUUCUUUCUAUAUAAUAAGUGAUUUUUAAUUUUAGACUGUUCCUUGAAACUGUAGCUGUAAUUGUACCACCAAAUAUUCCAAGCAGACAACCCAGUCAAUGAUUAUCAGGCUUGGCCACAGUAGCUGACACAGUAAUUGACUAACGUGUGAAGUAAUUUCAUGCAGAAAUUAUUUAGCAUUUUUGGUGUAGUUUAAUUUCAAAGUGGAAAUGCAGACUCCAGGAUGGUGGCUCGGGGAGAUAGGAGACGGCUCUGUGCCUGAGUUCAUGCAUAAGAAGAUAUGUCUGCCAUGCUGUGUUUGAUUAAUGGCACCACAGGCCUGCUCAUCAAGAGGUAAUAAAAUAUGAGGGCAUAAGUCAGACUGCAUCCCAGUGUUCUGACAGGUGUUCAGGUCUUUAAGCCAGAGCUUCUCUGAGGUAGCCAAAUCAAAAGAUCUGUCUUCAUCCUCCGUCUAAAUGAUUUCUAAAUGUUAAAGCCUCCAAGCCAAAAGUCAAAGGAGCUAUGAUCUCUGAAUCGAAAAAAAUAGGCAACAUACGGUUUCAAAUCACAAAAUAGUUUAUUAUCAUGUUUUCAUACACUAUGUGGAAAAAGAUCGAGCUGAAGGUUUUUUUUGUUGUUCCUUAAAGUUUGUCUAAAAUUCAACUAUCCAGUGUGUUUACUGCAGAUGUUGAUCGACUGAGAGCAGAGCAUGAUUUCUGGACAAAUCCUUGAAACAUCUUUUAAAAAAUGCAGUCAGAGGAAAUCCCUGAGACCAGAGACUUCUUUGAUUUUGAUCAUAUUCUUGUCUUUUUUAAAGUCAGAGGACACUUCAGUUUGGGAAAGGAUGACUUCAGGGGUCUGCAAGCUGAGGCUCUGGAGCUUCAGGUUUUAUUUCUCGAAUGUGGCUCCUAAUUGCAUUUACACGCACAGACCAGUACACAUGUUACACCAAAGCUAUAAUUUUUUUAUUCAAUAGUAAAUUGAGAAUAAAAUCAAAUUCAUGCAAAAUGUAAUGUUUUACUUCACUUUAUUGCAUUUUUAAUUCAGGUAAAUCUGCUAUAGCAGGGUUGGAUUUGAUUUUUUGAU